This 253-nucleotide ribosomal RNA is filed under the name uncultured bacterium. RNAcentral describes it as "partial 16S ribosomal RNA". It matches the Rfam family "Bacterial small subunit ribosomal RNA", at positions 524 to 776 of the family's 1533-position model. The record is from RNAcentral.
UACGUAGGGUGCAAGCGUUAAUCGGAAUUACUGGGCGUAAAGCGUGCGCAGGCGGUGAUGUAAGACAGUUGUGAAAUCCCCGGGCUCAACCUGGGAACUGCAUCUGGGACUGCAUCGCUGGAGUGCGGCAGAGGGGGAUGGAAUUCCGCGUGUAGCAGUGAAAUGCGUAGAUAUGCGGAGGAACACCGAUGGCGAAGGCAAUCCCCUGGGCCUGCACUGACGCUCAUGCACGAAAGCGUGGGGAGCAAACAGG